CUACGGAGGAUGCGAGCGUUAUCCGGAUUUAUUGGGUUUAAAGGGAGCGUAGGUGGGAUAUUAAGUCAGCUGUGAAAGUUUGGGGCUCAACCUUAAAAUUGCAGUUGAUACUGGUUUCCUUGAGUACGGUACAGGUGGGCGGAAUUCGUGGUGUAGCGGUGAAAUGCUUAGAUAUCACGAAGAACUCCGAUCGCGAAGGCUGCUCACCGGGCCGGAACUGACACUGAUGCUCGAAAGUGCUGGUAUCAAACAGGAUUAGAUGCCCUGGUAGUCCGCACAGUAAACGAUGAAUACUCGCUGUUUGCGAUACACUGUAAGCGCCCAAGCGAAAGCGUUAAGUAUUCCACCUGGGGAGUACGCCGGCAGCGGUGAAACUCAAAGGAAUUGACGGGG
RNAcentral lists this ribosomal RNA (393 nucleotides) under uncultured bacterium. RNAcentral's name for it is "partial 16S ribosomal RNA". It matches the Rfam family "Bacterial small subunit ribosomal RNA", at positions 523 to 918 of the family's 1533-position model. The record is from RNAcentral.